GACGUAGGGCGCGAGCGUUGUCCGGAUUUAUUGGGCGUAAAGAGCUCGUAGGCGGUUUGUCGCGUCGGUUGUGAAAUUUUAGGGCUCAACCCUGACAUUGCAUCCGAUACGGGCAGGCUAGAGUUCGGUAGGGGAGACUGGAAUUCCUGGUGUAGCGGUGAAAUGCGCAGAUAUCAGGAGGAACACCGGUGGCGAAGGCGGGUCUCUGGGCCGUAACUGACGCUGAGGAGCGAAAGCGUGGGGAGCGAACAGG
This 253-nucleotide ribosomal RNA is filed under the name uncultured bacterium. RNAcentral describes it as "partial 16S ribosomal RNA". It matches the Rfam family "Bacterial small subunit ribosomal RNA", at positions 524 to 776 of the family's 1533-position model. The record is from RNAcentral.